This 485-nucleotide ribosomal RNA is filed under the name uncultured bacterium. Its description in RNAcentral is "bacterial SSU rRNA". It matches the Rfam family "Bacterial small subunit ribosomal RNA", at positions 917 to 1382 of the family's 1533-position model. The record is from RNAcentral.
GGGCUCACACAAGCGGUGGAGCAUGUGGCUUAAUUCGAGGCUACGCGAAGAACCUUAUCCUGGAUUUGACAUGUGCGAAAGCGCUGGGAGGUAGGACCCGGAAACGGGAACGAACGGUAUCCAAUCCGGAACCCAGUACAGGUGCUGCAUGGCUGUCGUCAGCUCGUGUCGUGAGAUGUCGGGUUAAGUCCCAUAACGAGCGAAACCCCUGCCCUUAGUUGCUAGGCGUAAGCCGAGGACUCUAGGGGGACUGCCGGUGUCAAACCGGAGGAAGGUGGGGAUGACGUCAAGUCCUCAUGGCCUUUAUAUCCAGGGCUGCACACGUGCUACAAUGGCGUGAACAAAGGGACGCAAACGCGCGAGCGGGAGCAAAUCCCAAAAAACACGCCCCAGUUCAGAUCGCAGGCUGCAACUCGCCUGCGUGAAGUUGGAAUCGCUAGUAAUCGCGGGUCAGCAACACCGCGGUGAAUGUGUUCCUGAGCCUU